CGCGUGAGCAACUUGCCCUCAUCAGGGGAAUAAUCGCUGGAAACGGCGUCUAAUGCCCCAUGGUGAUGUCCUCAGGCAUCUGAGGUCAUCUAAAGAUCCGUCGGAUGGGGAUAGGCUCGCGUGACAUUAGCUAGACGGCGGGGUAACGGCCCACCGUGGCGACGAUGUCUAGGGGUUCUGAGAGGAAGGUCCCCCACACUGGAACUGAGACACGGUCCAGACUCCUACGGGAGGCAGCAGUGAGGAAUAUUGGUCAAUGGCCGGAAGGCUGAACCAGCCAUGCCGCGUGAAGGUCAGUGCCCUAUGGGCGUUAAACUUCUUUUGUGCGGGAGCAAUAAUGGUCACGUGUGGCCAGACGAGAGUACCGUACGAAUAAGCAUCGGCUAACUCCGUGCCAGCAGCCGCGGUAAUACGGGGGAUGCAAGCGUUAUCCGGAUUUAUUGGGUUUAAAGGGUGCGUAGGCUGUGAGGUAAGUCAGCGGUGAAAUGCCCCCGCUCAACGGGGUGAAGUGCCAUUGAUACUGCCUUGCUGGAAUGCGGAUGCCGUGAGAGGAAUGUGUGGAGUAGCGGUGAAAUGCAUAGAUAUCACACAGAACACCGAUUGCGAAGGCAUCUCACGAAUCCGCGAUUACGCUGAUGCACGAAAGCGUGCGUAUCAAACAGGAUUAGAUACCCU
This 675-nucleotide ribosomal RNA is filed under the name uncultured bacterium. Its description in RNAcentral is "bacterial SSU rRNA". It matches the Rfam family "Bacterial small subunit ribosomal RNA", at positions 114 to 788 of the family's 1533-position model. The record is from RNAcentral.